CUCCCGGUGGCUCAGUUGGUAAAAGCACUCAUUCCGAGUGUAGACUGAACGCUAUGGCCCGGGUUCGAUCCCGGCCGUGUUA
Molecule: transfer RNA, 82 nt
Filed under: Megalops atlanticus (tarpon)
Lineage: Eukaryota; Metazoa; Chordata; Actinopteri; Elopiformes; Megalopidae
Description: tRNA-OTHER
Source: RNAcentral